This 463-nucleotide ribosomal RNA is filed under the name uncultured bacterium. Its description in RNAcentral is "bacterial SSU rRNA". It matches the Rfam family "Bacterial small subunit ribosomal RNA", at positions 29 to 526 of the family's 1533-position model. The record is from RNAcentral.
AAUGAACGUUGGCGGCGUGGAUUAGGCAUGCAAGUCGAGCGCGAUGCCUCCUUCGGGAGGCGGAAAGCGGCGAAAGGGUGAGUAACGCGUAGAUACCAACCUCGAGGUUUGGGAUAGCGGCGGGAAACUGCCGGUAAUACCGAAUAACAUCUCCGGAUCAAAGCUCCGGCGCCUCGAGACGGGUCUGCGUCCUAUUAGCUAGUUGGUGAGGUAACGGCCCACCAAGGCCAUGAUGGGUAGCGGGCGUGAGAGCGUGGCCCGUCACACUGGGACUGAGACACUGCCCAGACACCUACGGGUGGCUGCAGUCGAGAAUCUUUGUCAAUGGACGAAAGUCUGAACAAGCGACGCCGCGUGCGGGAUGAAGGCCUUCGGGUUGUAAACCGCUGUUGUAGGGGAGGAAAUUUUGACCGAUCCUAUGAGGAAGUCCGGGCUAAGUUCGUGCCAGCAGCCGCAGUAACAC